This is a long non-coding RNA of Fukomys damarensis (Damara mole-rat), 319 nucleotides long. RefSeq lists it as uncharacterized. The record is from RefSeq and is a predicted model, not a curated record. The transcript has 3 exons. Lineage: Eukaryota; Metazoa; Chordata; Mammalia; Rodentia; Bathyergidae.
CAAGAAUAUCAUCCUGUUUGCUAAUAAGGGAGCAGGUUCUCCUGGGAGAAGACUUGCUCAAAGUCACACAGCCAGUUACUUCAUCUCUCUGAGCCCUGGCUUCCUAGAAGGAUGGCAGUAACAGUGCCUCCCUCUUGCAGGUGUGAUGGCUGAAAGAGAAAGUACAUAUCAAGCCUUCUGCCCCCAGCACUGGCCCACCACCCUGGCUGCUCAUUACAUCAAACGUCUCCACCUCCCUGAAGCCUGAGUGAACCCUGCCCCAGCCAGCUGAACUCCCUCCUCUGGGCUCGCCGGCUUGGCCAGUCUGCCUGCUUUCUGG